Molecule: long non-coding RNA, 564 nt
Organism: Tachyglossus aculeatus (Australian echidna)
Lineage: Eukaryota; Metazoa; Chordata; Mammalia; Monotremata; Tachyglossidae
Exons: 4
Source: RefSeq, a predicted model, not a curated record
CUGGGGUUCCCGAGUGUCUGCUAUGACCUGGGCAAUGGAGACCAUGUCAUCAGACUUCCCUCCUCUGGCACUCACGAUGGGGAAUGGUCCACAGGAUCCAAAGAACAAAUGGAGAAUGUAGUCACCCUUCGCCUCUGUGAUGGAGGUGGGAAAAGAGAAAUCCAGGCCUCAGCCGGACUUUUUUUUCUAAAGAUUAUCGUCCCCAGCAGUCUGGUCCUUGGAAAAACUCGUCCCGUUAAUCUGAACCACAGUUUUAAAGCUGCCCUGCAGGACACACGGUCACGGAGAAUGCAAUAGGAAGGCAAUUGUUUCUACAUGGUAGCUAUGCAGCGACAUUUGCUCCAUCCUCAUCCUGUUUUCCUCACCCGGAUGCUGCCAUGACCAUCUGAAGAAAGGGAUUCCGGAGUAAAUUUGAUUCAGCCGGCUCCUUUAUUUUAAUCAGGGUACACUGUUUCCAGUUUAUCCUUCAUGUAAGAACCCUUCCAUGCCAGUUUUCCAGCCUGGAUUUCUCUACCAUCAUCUUCCCAGGGAUAUUAUUAGUUGGGAUGGUCUGAAUGUCGAGUU